CAACCCACAGCCAGGCACAUGUUACUAUUUCUGUAGAGCCUCAGGGACCAGCUGUAUCCUUGGAAGUCUGCUAUUUGGCACCAAAUAGAAGCCAACUACAAUCUACUUUCUUUUCUCAGGAGGAAUAUUCUGGAAGGAUCAGAAAGGAAGAACUUUUAUGAGUAGUCUUCUGAGCAACAUUCAGAACAGGGGUUAAAAUCAGACUUUGUUUCAUGCUGACUUUGUUGUCAUCAGUGUGUUUGGAUGAUCAUCAAUUUUGCAGAGCUUAACCCUUCAAGAUAAAAAUCCUUUUGCCUCUCCCCUGCGAGGUUAAAUGGGAAAAUCUGCCAGGACUGAUGAGCAGCCCAUCAACUAUACAUGGAAAUCAUGGGGAAGACCUGGACUUGGAGCCCCUUUGGUUUGGGAGAGGAGCAAAAUCAUGGGCGGACGUCCCCUCCUAUGCUGUUGAUUUUUCUGAAGUUCCCUACAUCAAGACUCAAAUUCAGUGUUGCUUGCCUUAAUGGGUUUGGGGCUUUGGUGGAAACUGCUCUGUGUUCUAAAUAUCUCGUGUCACCCCCUGGCAAUAUUUCUAUCCAUAAAAAAAUCAUGUUAAACUGAAUUUAAAAGCAAACUUGAGUGUGAGGGGCGAUGACUGUAGAACAUUUUGGAAAUACUUGUGCUUUGCUAAUCAGAGCAUAGUGUACAGUCUUUUAAAAGGGGGAAGUGACUAAGUAAUGUGUAUCAAAGACUUUUAAAAUGUUCAUAGCCUUAAUCUAUUAAUUCCAUGAGAUCCAAAGAAAACAGUCAGAAAUAUAUGUGUAGGACAACUUCCAUGCAAAGGCAUUUAGCUGCAUUGUUUAUAAUAGUAAAAACUUGGAAUUGACUUAAAUUUCAAAGUGAAAUGAUUUAAUAAAUUAGGUUAUGAUUCAUGGUAGAGUACUGUG
Molecule: long non-coding RNA, 923 nt
Filed under: Vulpes vulpes (red fox)
Lineage: Eukaryota; Metazoa; Chordata; Mammalia; Carnivora; Canidae
Description: lncRNA (ENSVVUG00000014903.1)
Source: RNAcentral